UUAAAUUGAAGAGUUUGAUCAUGGCUCAGAUUGAACGCUGGCGGCAGGCCUAACACAUGCAAGUCGAACGGUAACAGGAAUCAGCUUGCUGAUUCGCUGACGAGUGGCGGACGGGUGAGUAAUGUCUGGGAAACUGCCUGAUGGAGGGGGAUAAC
RNAcentral lists this ribosomal RNA (155 nucleotides) under Escherichia coli. RNAcentral's name for it is "partial 16S ribosomal RNA". It matches the Rfam family "Bacterial small subunit ribosomal RNA", at positions 1 to 147 of the family's 1533-position model. The record is from RNAcentral. Lineage: Bacteria; Pseudomonadati; Pseudomonadota; Gammaproteobacteria; Enterobacterales; Enterobacteriaceae.